GAGGAGGAAAGAUGGGUGGCUACAAAGCUCGUGGGUAUCUGCUUCUCCUUUUGUGUGGCGCAAUUCUACUGGCGAUGAAUAUCAAUAUUCCAGAAACUGCAAGCGCAAAAAUCUGCCCAGAUUAUUGCAUAGGAGACGCAGCGUAUAUGACCUGCCUAUCUUCAGGCAAUGAGCAACUUAAUCCACCCUGCAAUUGCUGCUUUGCUUCAAAGGGCUGCACCAUUUACCGCAGCGAUGGAACUUCAAUAUGCAAUGGGACUUGAAUCUUGAUCAAGCUAGCUAGCUAGCUGGCCGGCUGUGCCAUCGUGUAUACAUGGCAUGUUAAUUUGUUAAACGUGAUAUUGCAUGUUUACUAGCUAGUACAUAGUAGUCAGCAUGCACUUACGUAUAUACAUAAUCUGCAAAAUGAAUUAAGUACGUACCUAGUACUUACUACCUAUAGUUAUAAAAUUCAAAUAAAACACGCGCGGAGAGUACUAUUCCCGCGUAUUCAUAUUAUAAAAAGAUAAUCUCUAUGUUAAUGCUUAGGUACGUACAUGUAAUUGUCGGGUCUUUAUAUAUAUAAUAUAGAGAAAUGACAUUUA
Molecule: long non-coding RNA, 584 nt
Organism: Juglans microcarpa x Juglans regia
Lineage: Eukaryota; Viridiplantae; Streptophyta; Magnoliopsida; Fagales; Juglandaceae
Exons: 2
Source: RefSeq, a predicted model, not a curated record